UGGGGAAUAUUAGGCAAUGGGGGAAACCCUGACCUAGCGACGCCGCGUGAAGGAUGAAGGUUUUCGGAUUGUAAACUUCUUUGGCAGAGGACGAUAAUGACGGUACUCUGAGAACAAGCCACGGCUAACUACGUGCCAGCAGCCGCGGUAAUACGUAGGUGGCGAGCGUUGUCCGGAUUUACUGGGUGUAAAGGGCGAGUAGGCGGGCUAACAAGUCAGAUGUGAAAUACCGAGGCUCAACUUCGGGGCUGCAUUUGAAACUGUUAGUCUUGAGUGAUGGAGAGGCAGGCGGAAUUCCCAGUGUAGCGGUAAAAUGCAUAGAGAUUGGGAGGAACACCAGUGGCGAAGGCGGCCUGCUGGACAUUAACUGACGCUGAGGAGCGAAAGUGUGGGGAGCAAACAGG
This 404-nucleotide ribosomal RNA is filed under the name uncultured bacterium. Its description in RNAcentral is "bacterial SSU rRNA". It matches the Rfam family "Bacterial small subunit ribosomal RNA", at positions 355 to 776 of the family's 1533-position model. The record is from RNAcentral. RNAcentral also lists the same sequence under 1 other name.